This 439-nucleotide ribosomal RNA is filed under the name uncultured bacterium. RNAcentral describes it as "partial 16S ribosomal RNA". It matches the Rfam family "Bacterial small subunit ribosomal RNA", at positions 339 to 795 of the family's 1533-position model. The record is from RNAcentral.
CUACGGGUUGCUGCAGUGAGGAAUAUUGCACAAUGGGGGGGAACCCUGAUGCAGCAACGCCGCUUGGAGGAUGACGCAUUUCGGUGUGUAAACUCCUUUUAUAUGUCAAGAAAAUGACGGUAGCAUAUGAAUAAGCACCGGCUAACUCCGUGCCAGCAGCCGCGGUAAUACGGAGGGUGCAAGCGUUACUCGGAAUCACUGGGCGUAAAGGACGCGUAGGCGGGUUGGAAAGUCAGGUGUGAAAUCCUACAGCUUAACUGUAGAGCUGCACUUGAAACUUCUAAUCUAGAGUAUGGGAGGGGGAGAUGGAAUUAGUGGUGUAGGGGUGAAAUCCGUAGAUAUCACUAGGAAUACCUAAAGCGAAGGCGAUCUCCUGGAACAUUACUGACGCUAAGGCGUGAAAGCGUGGGGAGCAAACAGGAUUAAUACCCUGGUAGUC